Molecule: ribosomal RNA, 2992 nt
Filed under: Durio zibethinus
Lineage: Eukaryota; Viridiplantae; Streptophyta; Magnoliopsida; Malvales; Malvaceae
Description: eukaryotic LSU rRNA
Rfam family: Eukaryotic large subunit ribosomal RNA (bases 944-2979)
Source: RNAcentral
AAGCUGCUAGAUAUUGCACAGUUUUCCUACAACUUGUAAAGGAGCGAGGCAACAAACCAGAGCCCAUUUGAGGUUGUAACAGGGUUCGAUUGCUGCAGGUUAUAUAGGGCUGAAUCUAGUAGCAUACAAGUUUGCCAAGGCAUGGCAAGAGCAAACUGACUUGGCCAGAGUUUAUCUACACAAGGCGGCCAAGAGGUCGAAGAAGUGGGUAGACCAGAAUAGGCGGGACGUGCAGUUCUAGGUUGGAGACUUGGUGUUGGUGAAGCUGCAUCCCAUUGUGCACCACAAGGGGCUGCACAAAGGCCUAGUCCAGAGGUAUGAGGGACCUUUUCGAGUAGUCAAGAGGGUAGGCAAGGUUUCCUACAAGCUGGAUAUGCCACCCAAGCUGAGGGUACACCCGGUGUUCGAUGUGAGCAUGCUCAAGCCGUUCGAUGAGGAUGAGAGAGAUCCAGGAUGGGCCGAGUCAAAGUGUGCACCAUUGGGAGCAAGGGCCUCAUAUGAGAAGGAGGUCCACAGCAUCAUAGCUGAUCGGGAGGUGAGACAGAAGAACUAUCAGCCAAGACAAGAGUACUUGGUGCACUGGAAGGGACUUCCAAACAGUGAGGCGAGCUGGGAACUAUCAGAUGACUUAUGGCAGUUUGGGGACCAGAUCAGGUAGUACCAUGUAGAAGACGCAACGAGGGCAUUGCACAAUCAGGUGAGGGAGAAUGUCAUGCCCUGGGCGGGCACGCCUGGCACAUCAGGCAGACCAACAGGUGAGCCAGAGGUUGAAGCCCGCAGACCAGGCGUGCUGGCGGGUAUCUGCAUGCAAAGGCUAGCAAACGAGUUCAAAACACCCGCCCAACUUGCAGGCCAGCCCGUGAGACCAAGGCUUGGUAUACAAGCUACCCAUACCACAUCCAAAAGGGCCCAAGGUGCUAGAUACGCAAGUGAAGCUUUUGAAAGCAGGUAGGAUCAGUAAGAGCAUCCUGGCAAAUUUGGUUGACCCUGAAAAUCAGGAGUUAGCAUCCUGAUUGAUUGUAAUCUGUAUAAUCCCUUGAUUUUAGCCUUUCUUCUAGGGAUAUUGCCAUUAAGUGUAGCUGGAGCCUCAACUAUAAAUAGAGGGCUGCUCUAUCCUCAUUUGUACACCAUCAAACACUUCUAUUUCAGUGAAUACAAGAGCAUUUCCAAAAUUCUAUCUUCUUAUCUUGUUUCUCUUUAACUUGCGUAAUCAGCCCUUCCCAUUGUUCUAGGGCCCGCACGCUUGUGUUUUAAGCUGACUUAGGCAUAAAAGAGGAGAUUCCAAGCCUAAGGUUGCAUGAUUUCUGAGUCUAAGGUAGGGGCCUGUGACACCAGCAGUCGAAAGAGCACCGCACGUCUCGUGGUGUCCGGUGCCCCCCCUGCGGCCCUUGAAAAUUCGGAGGACCGAGUGCCAUCCGCGCUCGAUCGUACUUAUAAUCGCAUCAGGUCUCCAAGGUGAACAGCCUCUGGUCGAUGGAACAAUGUAGGCAAGGGAAGUCGGCAAAAUGGAUCCUUAACCUCGAGAAAAAGAUUGGCUCUAAGGGAUGGGCACGAGGGUCCCAGUCUCGAACCUGUUGGCUGUCGGUGCACUGCUCAAGCUGUUCCCACGGCAAGAGCAAGUCACCGCGUGCCGAUCGGGGGACAGACUGGGAACGAUUCCCUUGGGGGCCUUCCUCAGGCGACGAACAGUCGACUCAAAACUGGUACAAACAAAGGGAAUCUGACUGUUUAAUUAAAACAAAGCAUUGUGAUGGUCCUUGCGGAUGCUUACGCAAUGUGAUUUCUGCCCAGUGCUCUAAAUGUCAAAGUGAAGAAAUUCAACCAAGCGCGGGUAAAUGACGAGAGUAACUAUGACUCUCUUAAGGUAACCAAAUGCCUCAUCAUCUAAUUAGUGACGCGCAUGAAUGGAUUAACGAGAUUCCCACUGUCUCUGUCUACUCUCCAGCAAAACCACAGCUAAGGGAAUGGGCUUGGCGAAAUCAACGGGGAAAGAAGACCUUGUUGAGCUUGACUCUCAUUUGACUUUGUGAAAUAACUUGAGAGGUGUAGGAUAAGUGGGAGCCCCCAGGCGAAAUUCAAAUACCACUACUAUUAAUGUUAUUUUACUUAUUCCGUGAAUCGGAGGUGGGGCACCACCCCUUCUUUUAGACCCAAGGCCAGCCUCAGUCGAUCGAUCUGGGCAAAAGACAUUGUCAGGUGGGGAGUUUGGCUGGGGUGGCACAUCUGUUAAAAGAUAACGCAGGUGUCCUAAGAUGAGCUCAACGAGAACAGAAAUCUCGUGUGAAACAAAGGGUAAAAGCUUGUUUGAUUCUGAUUUCCAGUAUGAAUACGAACCAUGAAAGCGUGGCCUAUCGAUCCUUUAGACCUUCGGGAUUUGAAGCUAGAGGUGUCAGAAAAGUUACCACAGGGAUAACUGGCUUGUGGCAGCCAAGUGUUCAUAGCGACAUUGCUUUUUGAUCCUUCGAUGUCGGCUCUUCCUAUCAUUGUGAAGCAAAAUUCACCAAGUGUUGGAUUGUUCACCCACCAAUAGGGAAUAUGAGCUGGGUUUAGACCGUCAUGAGACAGGUUAGUUUUACCCUACUGAUGGUGGCAUCCCGAUAGUAAUUCAACCUAGUACGAGAAGAACCAUUGAUUCGCACAAUUGGUCAUCACGCUUGGUUGAAAAGCCAGUGGCACGAAGCUACCAUGCGUUGGAUUAUGACUGAAUGCCUCUAAGUCAGAAUCUGGGCUAGAAGUGAUGCACGUGCCUGCCACCCGAUUAUCGACCUGUAGUAGGGGCCCAUGGCCUUUAAAGGCACGUGUCGUAGGUGCAGCCCCCGCGGCGGACGAGCCGUGCGGGCCUCCUUGGAGCUCAAUUCCCACCGAACGGUGGGUAGAAUCCUUUGCAGAUGACUUAAAUAUGCGACGGGGUAUCUAAGUGGCAGAGUGGCCUUGCUACCAUGAUCCACUGAGAUUCAGCCCUUUGUCGCUUCGAUUCGUUCCUCCCCCCGUC